This 488-nucleotide ribosomal RNA is filed under the name Sinorhizobium medicae. RNAcentral's name for it is "partial 16S ribosomal RNA". It matches the Rfam family "Bacterial small subunit ribosomal RNA", at positions 190 to 698 of the family's 1533-position model. Lineage: Bacteria; Pseudomonadati; Pseudomonadota; Alphaproteobacteria; Hyphomicrobiales; Rhizobiaceae. The record is from RNAcentral.
AGCCCUUCGGGGGAAAGAUUUAUCGGGAAAGGAUGAGCCCGCGUUGGAUUAGCUAGUUGGUGGGGUAAAGGCCUACCAAGGCGACGAUCCAUAGCUGGUCUGAGAGGAUGAUCAGCCACAUUGGGACUGAGACACGGCCCAAACUCCUACGGGAGGCAGCAGUGGGGAAUAUUGGACAAUGGGCGCAAGCCUGAUCCAGCCAUGCCGCGUGAGUGAUGAAGGCCCUAGGGUUGUAAAGCUCUUUCACCGGUNNAGAUAANGACGGUAACCGGAGAAGAAGCCCCGGCUAACUUCGNNCCAGNAGCCNCGGUANUNCGAAGGGGNCUAGCGUUNUUCGGAAUUACUGGGCGUAAAGCGCNCGUANGCGGAUUGUUAAGUGAGGGGUGAAAUCCCAGGGCUCAACCCNGGAACUGCCUUUCAUANUGGCAAUCUAGAGUCCAGAAGAGGUGAGUGGAAUUCCGAGUGUAGAGGUGAAAUUCGUAGAUAUU